CUUCCUUUUACCUGCCCUUCUCUCACGAUUGAAACAUCUUCCAGGUACGGAGUCUUAGUCCACCCUAUAGGUGCAUGGGAACCACGGAAGCAAAGGGGUGGGAAGAAUCUCCCUUUCCUGGCCAUCCUCUCCUCUCCAUGUCCACAAAGCAAAACCACCAGUCAGCAGCUCAAAGCAACUAUCCCUAUUUUGGAAACUGGGGACACGUUUAGGAGCACUUCCUAAACUAGGAGAGGCAGUGACCUGAGAAGCUACGUAUUGACACGGCGCUACCACGGGUGGAGGAGCCUGCAUUGCUGAAUCACAGGAUGAAGGCGAAUCCCUGCCAGCCUCCAUCCAUCUCUGGGGUGCUUAGCAGAAUCCUCAGCUCACAAGAUGAAUAAAUGCAGACUAAAUGAUGCACAAAUAAUCUUCACACACAACCAUCAACACAUGGAAAGACUGCAGGACGGCCAGAUCCCAAGCUAACAAACAGGGGAAGAUGAUGUUUCAAAUGAUCAUCUGAAUGCUGGGUUUCCACCUUCCACCAGGAAGUCAUAUGGUAAAAAGAAAAAAAAUGGCAUUAUGAUACAAACAGAAAAUGUAACAGUGGAGUGCAGAAAAUACAAAAAAAAGGAAAAAAUAAAUAGAAAAUCUUCAAAGAGGCAAUCUGUUUAAAUCUUCAAGAACUGGAAACAGUAAAAGUGAACAGGUUUUUAUUGAGCAUGUCAAUAAAAUGUUUGCAUAAGACUUUACAAGUGCUUUAUUUCAUGAGGUUUUUAUUAUUGAUCAAAGCAACGAAAAUGAACGGGAAAUUCAUUCUCAUCAAAUCUACAACUUGGGAGGAGGUCCGAUGAAAUCCCUGGAAGCUCACAUUUUUUAUAAAUGAAGAGUUAAUUACCGGUGGGAACAAUGAGAACCUCUGUGGUUCUUCCUGAUGCUUGGAUCCUCCCAGACCUCUGUUUCCAGUCUCCUUCUCCACAACCUGGCCUAUGCGAUGCAAGUGGUCUAACUGAUCUCCGCCUAGGGAAGGAUCCUUCGGCAACUUGCCGACAAGAGAAGCAGCGAUGCCCGAGGCAGGUCCAAAGGAGCACUGACUGCGUGGGAUUGAUUACACUGGAGGAACAAAAGGUCCUGUGGCUACACAAGUUUGAAAAGCAGAAGGUACAAUCAUUGUAUUUCUGGCAGACUUUUCAAAGACUUUAAUAUAUGAAUCCCUCAUAUGAAUCUCCUGGAGGAUUAUAUAAUAGGCAGAUCUCCCAGCCAUUUUCACUGAACAGUUCUUAGAAUUGGUAUCCUUGAAAAAUUUCACCUAACCACUCAAUAUGGUAGCCACUAGUCCUGGGUGGCUAUUGAGCACCUGAAAUUUGCCUAGUCUGAAUUAAGACACAUUCUAAGAAUAAAGCACACUGUAUUUCAAAGGCAGUACAAAAAUAAAAAAGAAUGUAAGCUGUCUCAAUAAUAAUUUUUGUAUUGAAUACGUGUUGAAAUGAUGUUAUUUUUGAUAUAUUGAGUGAAAUAAAUUGUAUUGCUAAAAUGAAUUUUACUUGUUUUGUUUUACUUGUGCAAUGAGGUUACUAGAUAAUAUAAAAUUCUGUCUGUGGUUUGCAUUAUUUUUCUAGGAUGAUAAUGAGCUAGAGGACAGCAUGUAUGUAAGACCUUCAGGAUUUAGAGUCUGGCUAUCUCUCCAGCUCUCUGUCUAAAUACUGUCUUGCUUUGGGUUCCCAUCUCUCCAGAUCGCUUAAAGAAACCCCUCCCUGUCCCUGCCAACAACCACCACAGCAGACAGCCUGACAUCUCUAUCUCUUGCUCAUUUCAACUUAUGGGAUGACAUCUGGCCAACACUUAUUCAGCCUUCAGGUAUUAAGCAACAAUCACCCACACAGGAAGCCUAUCUGGAAAUCCAGGCACACCUAUCCCCUGGCCUGAU
RNAcentral lists this long non-coding RNA (1909 nucleotides) under Homo sapiens (human). RNAcentral's name for it is "HSALNT0113495". The record is from RNAcentral. Lineage: Eukaryota; Metazoa; Chordata; Mammalia; Primates; Hominidae.